Molecule: small RNA, 534 nt
Filed under: Pan troglodytes (chimpanzee)
Lineage: Eukaryota; Metazoa; Chordata; Mammalia; Primates; Hominidae
Description: retained intron
Source: RNAcentral
AGUACUCAGCAGCAUCCGGGGGAGAGGAGGCAGGGCUUCUGGUGGGAGCCGCCUCAGCCGGCCCUUGGACUGAGAAAAUCAGGCCGCACCUCGUCAUCUUCUCAAAUCUUCUGCUUCAUACCUUGUUCUCGUUUACGUGGACUGUUUCCUCAUGGCCUUACCUCAACUGCACACUGCAAUGUUGGCAGCGUUUCUGUGGGACCCUCGUGAUGUUGUGCUCACAGCGCAGCCUGGGGCUGAACAGUGCGCUGAGAGUUCGCAACAUAUAAGAAUCCUGCAGCUGCAGUUCAGGCUUAUCAGAUUCCGUUUCUGGAAGCUGUACAUCCAGAGAAGGGUGCAGGCCUGGCAGUUCUUAUGGAGCUUCAGGCUGCCCGGGGAGGCGCAGAAGAUUGAUCGCAUGAUGGAGGCUUUCGCUUCUCGCUACUGCCUGUGCAACCCCGGGGUCUUCCAGUCCACAGGUCAGUGCAGAGCCCACAGCCUGGCCCCUUGCCAGGCACAGCCUCCAGCUCUGGAGGGGGCGGCCCCUGUGGGCAC